UAAAGAUGAAGAUUUUGUGCUGUUUUUUAUAAUAAUUGCUGAGUGCUGUUGAGAAGAGCUGCUGUUGAGUCUGAUAUCAGUGUAAUGAAGCACUGUGGUACACUUUUGGUGGAGGAACUAAACUGACCAUCAGAACUGGUCCCGCAGUGAAGCCCUCCGUGUCUCUGCUGCCUCCCUCUUCUCUGCAGAUCUCUGGAGACUCAGCCGCACUGCUCUGUCUGCUCAGCUCUUACUCUCCACAGGGGGCGCAGGUGAGCUGGACGCUGGACGGGUCAGAGGUCACCGAGGGGGUUCAGACCAGCGCAGAGAGCGAGCGGGACGGACGCUACAGCCGCAGCAGCGUCCUG
Carassius auratus (goldfish) is the source of this 347-nucleotide long non-coding RNA. RefSeq lists it as uncharacterized. Lineage: Eukaryota; Metazoa; Chordata; Actinopteri; Cypriniformes; Cyprinidae. The transcript has 3 exons. The record is from RefSeq and is a predicted model, not a curated record.